GGACAUGGAUGAAGCUGGAAACCAUCCUUCUCAGCAAACUAUCACAAGGACAGAAAACUAAACACCACGUGCUCUUACUCAUAGAACUGCUACAGUGAUCUGAAAUAAAAAUAUAACAAUGGCAGUCUUUUGACUAAAAUCCCUUAUUGGUUCUCCAUCAAGUAUAAUUUGAAGUCAAAGAUGAAACUUUCACUCUGGAACUAGACUUACCAUCCUUCCACACACAACUAGAAAACUGGACUACAUAUGCAGCAACAAGUUUUGGAUAUUGAUCAAGCAGUUGGCACAGUUCUGAAAGAAGGAAAACAAAUAAGAUAAGCCUAUAGUCAGAUAAGUCCCAGCUUUCUGCUUUCAGGCACUUUCUGAACUACAGUGCAGGGAUGGUUAUCUCCAUCAGAGCACAGUGGUAUCAUUGAGUUAAGCAGACAGAGUCUAGUGUACAGGAAGAUUGAUGUAUCUGGAAUUUGUGAACAGAAUAACAAAGAGGUUAAAGUUGCAUGGAGAAAGAAUGUCAAAAAUCUGUAUAGGAAUCCCAUAGAGUUUGUUGCUAAAUACUAAGCUGUGCAUAUGUCAAAGAAACUCCCCGAGGCCAGGCAAAAAAACUGCUAGAAAGCUCUUCAGAUCCAAAUGGUAUACUAGAAUUCUCUUCCUAACAGUCCACUGUCAAGUCUUCACUGUUAGAAGAAGGAUCACACCAGAAUUGAGGUCAAAUGGAUGAUCUUAUUCUUAAUUGUUGAAAAUCACACCUCAUUGAAAUUUGCUUCAUAACUGAACUAUGAAUUUUUCAUCAGACAUACUUUUGUGUUUCUCCUCAUGGCAUUCUUUAUGAGGAACUUCUUUUUGGAGCUUACUGGCUUUCUGUUCUAAUUUGGUUCAGUUAUUUUCUAGAAUUGCUACAUGACUGUCAUCCUGGGACUUCCUUCUGUUGGAAUCUUGGAGAGCUUACAGCUUUUCAUAUCCUUUCUUCUUUUGUGUUUUUCACCGUGAAGUGUACAAAGUCAAAUGAAUUUCCUAGAAAAACCAGAGAGUUAAUAUUUUGAGUCCUUGUGAUGGGGGGGUCAAGGAAGUGCUGGGUAGAGAAGGGCGGGGUCCCUGGUGAGGGCUCCACCCUCAGGCCUGUACCCACAGACCUAAAUGAGGACCGGCAUUUCUGUUUUCAUGCCCCAAAAGUUGCCUUUUGGCCCACCAGGUGCCCCAUCCUGUACCCACAAGAACUCAAGACCCUAGAAGGCACAGACACAAGUGGCUGGAUGUCAAGAGAGCAGAAGAACACAGUGAAAGACACCAGCAGACAACAUCAGGCAAUAGACAGCAGCAUGAUGUGGAAUUUGGCUGGGGGCAGUUGGAGGAGAGAAUGGCUACUGGGCGACCUGACUCCAGGGGAAGACCACCUUCCCACUCCAUCCCCCUUCGGGCUCCUCAUGCAUCUCAUGAGAGCUACCUCCACCACUCAAUAAAACCUUGCACCCAUCCUCCAA
This is a non-coding RNA of Chlorocebus sabaeus (green monkey), 1478 nucleotides long. NCBI's taxonomy places the organism in Eukaryota, Metazoa, Chordata, Mammalia, Primates, Cercopithecidae. The record is from RefSeq and is a predicted model, not a curated record.